This is a long non-coding RNA of Salvia splendens (bonfire salvia), 224 nucleotides long. RefSeq lists it as uncharacterized. Lineage: Eukaryota; Viridiplantae; Streptophyta; Magnoliopsida; Lamiales; Lamiaceae. The transcript is spliced from 3 exons. The record is from RefSeq and is a predicted model, not a curated record.
GUGAAAGACUCGACGGGGUGGCCAGCGAAGCAGCUGCACAGAAACUAAGGGGGCGCGUUGGAACAACUGUCACAUUAAAAGUUCACAGUUUUGAUGAGUUGGGGAGUCCUUGUAUUAGAGAGGUUAGGAUGCCUCGCGAAGUGAUCAACCUUUCACCCGUUUCUAGCACCAUCAUUCUCCACAGAGCACCUGAUGGUCAUGUAUCAAAAACUGGAUAUGUAAAG